UUAACUCAAAUUUGUAUGGAGUUGGAACGUUUGCCUGCGGUUGCCGCUAGGGGCACUUUUCCAAUUACAUACUUUGAGUUA
Molecule: microRNA precursor, 81 nt
Filed under: Bombyx mori (domestic silkworm)
Lineage: Eukaryota; Metazoa; Arthropoda; Insecta; Lepidoptera; Bombycidae
Description: mir-2807 microRNA precursor family
Rfam family: mir-2807 microRNA precursor family
Source: Rfam by way of RNAcentral